Molecule: RNA transcript, 3315 nt
Organism: Alligator mississippiensis (American alligator)
Lineage: Eukaryota; Metazoa; Chordata; Crocodylia; Alligatoridae
Gene: NECAB2
Gene name: N-terminal EF-hand calcium binding protein 2
Exons: 15
Source: RefSeq, a predicted model, not a curated record
CCGGCGGAGUGGCGCAGGGUGGGGUUUGCGGCGGUGCCCGGGAGCGGCUGUCAGGGGUGAUGUAGCCCGUGUGGGAGGGAAUACCCCCCGCUCCAGCAUGAAGACGGUGUGAAAGAUGUGCGAGCAGGCAGCGCGCUACUGCAGGGCGAGCGUCCACAAGCUCCUGCACAAGCCGCAGCCGCAGCUCCGGGGGCUGGACGGACUGCUCCGCUGGAUAGUCACCAAGAUGAGCGACAAGAGCGUGCUGGCCGAGCGCGAGCUGCUGCCCGAGGGGCAGGCGGCCGCCGCCCGCCACUUCUUCGCGGCAGAGCAGAGGAAAGGCACCUCGGUCAUCCUGGAUAUCUUCAGACGAGCUGACAAAAAUGAUGAUGGGAAGCUGUCUUUGGAAGAGUUCCAGGCUUUUUUUUCUGACGGGACUCUGAAUGAAGAAGAACUUGAAAAGCUCUUUCAUACAAUUGACUCGGACAACACCAGUAAUGUGGAUACAAAGGAGCUGUGUGAUUAUUUUGUUGAUCAUAUGGGAGAUUAUGAAGAUGUUUUGGCUUCAUUGGAAACCCUUAACCUCUCCAUUUUGAAAGCCAUGGACUAUACCAAGCGGGUGUAUGAAAGAGGGACCAAUGUGGACCAGUUUGUGACCCGGUUCCUGCUGAAGGAGACUGCCAACCAGAUCCAGUCCCUGCUGAGCUCUGUGGAGAGUGCUGUUGACGCCAUUGAUGAACAAACCAAUCAGAUCAGGCACUACCACAGUAAAUCUGGCCAUGGUAUAAUGGAUACUUGGUAUGACAACCCUGUGCCUAAUUACUCCCCUAAUAACAGAAUUAUGACCAAGGAGCACAGGAAGAGCUUCCAGACUGGGUCUUCAGACACUAAGGAAGAGGGACUGGAGGCUCAGAUUAACAGACUAGCUGAGCUGAUUGGAAGACUGGAGAGUAAGACUCUCUGGUUUGACCUGCACCAGCGACUGUCAGACAGCGAAAGCACUGCUUGCACAUAUCUCCUUUUGGUACGGAAUGAGAUGACAGUUUCCCAGAAGCACCUGGGAGAAUUCUGUAGCUCCCUUAAGCAGUACUUGAAGAUUGUGGCAGGAGAGAGGGACUGUUUCCAUGUAACUGCAGUGAGGCUCCCGGAUGGAGUCACCUUCAUUGUCUAUGAGUUCUGGGAGUCUGAGGAAGAUUGGAAGAGACACCUGCAGAGCGCUGCUUGCAAAGGGUUCCAGCAUGUGAAAGUGGACACCCUGACUCAGCCGGAGGCUGUUUCCAGUGUGUCAGUUCCAGCAGCCUGGUGCACCCUGAACAGAGACUAACUGUAUUCCUGGAGAAGACACAGAAAGAUCAGCGGUUCCCAAACUCUGACAGAUUGCACACCACUAACACAGAAGAGAGUAGCCUGCUCCUGUUGGAGGCCGCUGUCUGUUUUCAGAAUGACUGAGACUUGGUGGCAUCACCCCAUAGGAAGUAUACUGAAGAAGGGAAUCUAACAGCCAAAAGCAGUCUGUGGAUUAAAUAAGGACAUGCAUUAAGCUACAGUUUGGAUUUUUAAAUAAAGCAGUCAUGAUCGAAAAACAUAACUGAGUUUUAAAUAUGUUGCUUAAAAGUGUUAAAUGUAUUUAAUUUCUCUCUCUCUUUUUUGUUAUUGCUUUGUUUUAAAUGUACUAUGCUUUCCCCCAUACACCUAGAAGAAGAUAAACUGACAGAUGGAGUGACUUCUAAUGAGUCAAACAACAAACUGUUUAGUUUUAAAUGAAAAUAUUUUCUUAUCUUCUGAACUAAAACACAUGUCUAAUACUUGAUGCUAGAAUUAGGUUAUUCCACAACAGUGUUAAUUAUUGGGAAUUCUGGUUUGGCAAAAUUUAGAACUUCAAAUGGAGGUACUACCCAGGACAGCAAUUUAUCUGCUCAUGUGUAGAAGCUAUUAGGCAUCUUUUACCUUCUUGAGCAUCCUUCACUUUCUAAAACCUCUCAGGGACACACUUUGAAUGUCAGUUUGCCCUGGCCUACUGUAAAACUCAGAAGAAACAAACAGUACAAACAAUUUAAAAAGUAGGGGUAUUGUUAUAUAUUACAUUUAGAUCAUAGCAAGCAUUAAUACAACUUAGAAAGUUAUUGCAGUACCACACCAGAAUCUUGAACUGGCUCUGGUGUGGUCCUGGGGCUAAGACCAAAAAAAUCAGCUGAUUCUUGGUCUCAACCCUACGAUUGCACUGGAGCCAGCGCGGUGCAAAGAUUGAGAGUGACACUGGCACCCAGUAGUGCACCGAAGCAUUGAUCUGGAUUUGACACAAUGCAGUACAGAGGUUCCUGUGCAGUGCGGGGUUUGGGACUGGUUCCCGUGGCAUGCCAGUGUUGUCUCCAGCUUCGUUACAUUACUGCAUAGGAGCCUUGAAAUGGCAGGGCUCUGCUGCGGUGGGGAAUAGGGGGAGGAAAGAGCCCAGCAAACAGCUUUGUCAGACACUCAUGACUCCCAUUACAUCAGAAUCCCCUGAUCACAUUACCUCCAUGGAGCAGUCUGACAUUAGCUCAACACACGUUACGUAAUAUGAUCUGGAGAUGCUCCUCUCUGAAAAGGGUCUAACUUUACCAAACUACAAUGGCACUUUACACAUGCUUCACUGCUUGAAGGCUGAGACACUAGUGUUGCAACUGCUAAGUGUAAUGUGCAACAAUACCCGAUGCCUCUCCUGUUAUCUGGUCUCAAACUGUCUGAAAUUAUGGUUUGUAAAACAGGGACAAGCAAAGAUUAAUGCAUUUCAAAUACAGAGCAAAACAUUUUUCUCGGAAUUUCUCUACCUUGAAGGGUCAUUCGGUGGGAAAAGUAAGUUAAUCUUCACAAUUCUAAUGUCAUAUAAAUCUCCACCUUUGGUUUUUACGUGACUGAUAUUCACAUAUGCUAGAAAUUUAAGGUCAGCAAUGUCUCAGCAAGAGAUACAGCUGCUAAUUCAUAACUUAACAGCCAACGUAAUGGAAUUGGUCAAGCUUUCCAGCAUGCUUGUCUCAUAAGAGUAUACACCCCAAAUUUAAGAAAAAUCAAUGUUCAAGACAUGGCUUACAACUGCUUGACUAAUUUCUUAACUAUCUAUCAUCCUUUGCACUGUAGGUGUUUUAAUAACCUCUAGUAAAUCUGCAAGGCUCUGAUGUGACCACAUUGGUGAAUUAGACACUACAUUAAUUGGAAGACAUUUAGAAGAGAGAAGCCAACUAAGUUAUACAAUGAAAAUGACUAUAAAAAUUGUAUCCUAGGGUUCCAGACUUGGUUCCCAAUGACUUGAAAUCAGAAUUAGUUCAUUUUGCAAAUAAAGAAAGCUUUUCCAAGUGUUAA